GACUUCAGAGAACCAGACGGGUUUUGCGCCAUAACACCAACAGCAGUACGGCUAUCCAAAUAACAAAGAAGUGUACAACACUUGCAUUGUGACGUCCUCAGCUCCUCUGGCAGGCUGUUCCAGAGGGGGGGGGGCAUAGGUAACUAAGAGGCCAGUGCCAGAGGACCUGAGUGAUCUAGGUGGAGCACCAUGAAGAGAUGCUCCUGAGGAACCCAUAACCUGAAACAGCCAUUUGAGGUUGUUUCCAUGUUCCAUAACCAACAUAAAUAACUGCUCUCUCGUAGAAAUGUUGUAUCAAAAGUAAACUGUUGCGAUACAAAUGCACACC
Gadus macrocephalus (Pacific cod) is the source of this 328-nucleotide long non-coding RNA. RefSeq lists it as uncharacterized. Lineage: Eukaryota; Metazoa; Chordata; Actinopteri; Gadiformes; Gadidae. The record is from RefSeq and is a predicted model, not a curated record. The transcript is spliced from 2 exons.